AUUCCAGCUCCAAUAGCGUAUAUUAAUGUUGUUGCAGUUAAAAAGCUCGUAGUUGGAUUUCUGGAUUGAGCGGCUGGCCUUGCGCGCAAGCGUUCGUGUCGGCUUCGUUUCGGUCCAUCCUCAGGGGGACUUGCGCUGGCAUUAACGUGUCGGUGUAGGGACGCCUGUCGUUUACUGUGAACAAAUUAGAGUGUUCAAAGCAAGGUGUACUUGAAUACAUUAGCAUGGAAUAAUAAGAUAGGACUUUGGUGGUUCUUUUUGAUAUUUUGUUGGUUUGCACGCCAAAGUAAUGAUUAAUAGGAGCAGUUGGGGGUAUUCGUAUUCAAUUGUCAGAGGUGAAAUUCUUGGAUUUAUAGAAGACGAACUACUGCGAAAGCAUUUACCAAGGAUGUUUUCAUUA
This 400-nucleotide ribosomal RNA is filed under the name Pseudopedinella sp. Its description in RNAcentral is "partial small subunit ribosomal RNA". It matches the Rfam family "Eukaryotic small subunit ribosomal RNA", at positions 582 to 975 of the family's 1831-position model. The record is from RNAcentral. Lineage: Eukaryota; Dictyochophyceae; Pedinellales.